AGUGAACGCUGGCGGUAGGCCUAACACAUGCAAGUCGAACGGCAGCACAGUAAGAGCUUGCUCUUACGGGUGGCGAGUGGCGGACGGGUGAGGAAUACAUCGGAAUCUACUUUUUCGUGGGGGAUAACGUAGGGAAACUUACGCUAAUACCGCAUACGACCUACGGGUGAAAGCAGGGGAUCUUCGGACCUUGCGCGAUUGAAUGAGCCGAUGUCGGAUUAGCUAGUUGGCGGGGUAAAGGCCCACCAAGGCGACGAUCCGUAGCUGGUCUGAGAGGAUGAUCACCCAAACUGGAACUGAACCACGGUCCAAACCCCUACGGGAGGCAGCAGUGGGGAAUUUUGGGCAAGGGGGGAAACCCUUACCCAGCAAUCCCGGGGGGGGAAAGAAGGCCUUGGGGUUGUAAAGCCCUUUUGUUGGGAAAAAAAAGCAGCAGGUUAACACCCCGCUGUUUUGACGGUACCCAAAGAAUAAGCACCGGCUAACUUCGU
This 491-nucleotide ribosomal RNA is filed under the name uncultured bacterium. RNAcentral's name for it is "partial 16S ribosomal RNA". It matches the Rfam family "Bacterial small subunit ribosomal RNA", at positions 29 to 506 of the family's 1533-position model. The record is from RNAcentral.